CAGGUGUAGCGGUGAAAUGCGUAGAGAUCUGGAGGAAUACCGGUGGCGAAGGCGGCCCCCUGGACGAAGACUGACGCUCAGGUGCGAAAGCGUGGGGAGCAAACAGGAUUAGAUACCCUGGUAGUCCACGCCGUAAACGAUGUCGACUUGGAGGUUGUGCCCUUGAGGCGUGGCUUCCGGAGCUAACGCGUUAAGUCGACCGCCUGGGGAGUACGGCCGCAAGGUUAAAACUCAAAUGAAUUGACGGGGGCCCGCACAAGCGGUGGAGCAUGUGGUUUAAUUCGAUGCAACGCGAAGAACCUUACCUGGUCUUGACAUCCACGGAAGUUUUCAGAGAUGAGAAUGUGCCUUCGGGAACCGUGAGACAGGUGCUGCAUGGCUGUCGUCAGCUCGUGUUGUGAAAUGUUGGGUUAAGUCCCGCAACGAGCGCAACCCUUAUCCUUUGUUGCCAGCGGUCCGGCCGGGAACUCAAAGGAGACUGCCAGUGAUAAACUGGAGGAAGGUGGGGAUGACGUCA
Molecule: ribosomal RNA, 517 nt
Filed under: Shigella flexneri
Lineage: Bacteria; Pseudomonadati; Pseudomonadota; Gammaproteobacteria; Enterobacterales; Enterobacteriaceae
Description: bacterial SSU rRNA
Rfam family: Bacterial small subunit ribosomal RNA
Source: RNAcentral